Molecule: long non-coding RNA, 482 nt
Organism: Rattus rattus (black rat)
Lineage: Eukaryota; Metazoa; Chordata; Mammalia; Rodentia; Muridae
Exons: 2
Source: RefSeq, a predicted model, not a curated record
CUUUCCAAACUAAGAAAAGCCUGUUUCGCAGGCACCGCGUGGAUGAAAGUGACCUACAACUAAUGGUCUUGUGUUCCAAGUAACCAAUGAGCAUCCCCCAUCCCCCGCCAUCCUUAGAGCCAAACAUCAACUGGGAAACUUCCUGCGAGUUCUUUGAGACUAAGUGGAGUUUUUGUUUCCUGAGCUUUGAUAACAGAUGUGAUCACGGUGCCCGGUGGGUGUGCAGCCAGCUGUGAGCUCCGAGAGAAAGUCACCACAGGUGCCGUAGCACUGAAGUUUGGAGGUGAAGCCAUACUGACAGCUCCAUUGCCAAGGGACUGAACGCUGCCUGUAAGGACCUGCUGUACUGGGGUAGGGCUGAAGACGAUUGAAGGAGGAGAGCCCGGCUUCUGUGACUGUAGCAGGACAUUUUCUUUCAGUACUGUCAUGGGCUGUGACGAUGGAAUGGCUUGUAAAAUAAAUUUCUGCGGCCCUGCACCUGA